Acinonyx jubatus (cheetah) is the source of this 7395-nucleotide long non-coding RNA. RefSeq lists it as uncharacterized. Lineage: Eukaryota; Metazoa; Chordata; Mammalia; Carnivora; Felidae. The record is from RefSeq and is a predicted model, not a curated record. The transcript has 3 exons.
UCCGAGGCUUGUCUUGGGCUGCCGCCAGGAGUCGAAGACCUCCCCACAGCUCGCCAGAAUCUUUCAAGUUUAUACGGAGGUCUCAGCUGGGUUCAGUCAAGUGUAUGAUCCAGACCCUCUCAACGUUGCUCUCCGGAGAAAGUGAACUUAAAAACUGGCUCCCACGGUGGAAACAGCUGACGGAGCCCUUCUUUUCCAAGCACGGGGGAGGGAGGGGUGAGGAGCCUCUGAUUGCCCGGGGGCCAACUCAACGGUUAACUAGAGGUCACACCCUAUGGAUGACCUCCUUCCACAGGCAAUUUGCUGCAGUGAUCUACAUCUUAGUUCCGGUAACUACAAAGCACAUAGGAAGGAAAGCAGCAAAGAAUAUCAAUGAAACCAGAAGUUGGUUCUUUGAAAGAAGUAACAAAAUUGAUAAACCACUAGCCAGUUUGAGGAAAAAGAAAAAGGAAAGGACCCAAAUAAAUAAAACCAAUAAUGAAAGAGGAGAGAUCACAACCAACACAGUGGAUAUAAAACAAUAAUAAGAGAAUAUUAUGAGCAAUUAUAUGCCAAUAAAAUGGGCAACCUGGAAGAAAUGGACAAAUUCCUAGAAACAUACACUAUCAAAAAUGAAACAGGGAGAAAUAGAAAAUUUGAACAGACUUAUAACCCGUAAAGAAAUCGAAUUAGUAAUCAAAAAUCUCCCAAAAUACAAGAGUCCAGGGCCAGAUGGCUUUCCAGGGGAAUUCUACCAAACAUUUAAGGAAUAGUUAACACCUAUUCUCUUGAAGCUGUUACAGAAAAUAGAAAUGAAAGGAAAACUUCCAAACUCUUUCUAUAAAGCCAGCAUUACCUUGAUUCCAAAACCAGAGACCUCACUAAAAAGGAGAACUAUAGACCAAUUUCCCUGAUGAACAUGGAUGCAAAAAUCCUCAACAAGAUAUUAGCCAACUGGAUCCAAUGAUACAUUAAAAAAAUUAUUCACCAUGACCAAGUGGUAAUUAUACCUGGGAUGCAGGGCUGGUUAAAUAUCUGCAAAACACUUAAUGUGAUUCAUCACAUCAAUAAAAGGACAAGAACCAUAUGAUCCUCUCAAUAGAUGCAGAGAAUGCAUUUGACAAAAUACAACAUCCUUUCUUGAUAAAAACCCUCAAGAAAGUAGGGAUAGAAGGAUCAUACCUCGAGAUCAUAAAAGCCAUAUAUUAAUGACCCAGUGCUAAUAUCAUCCUCAAUGGGGAAAAACUGACAGCUUCCCCCCUAAGGUCAGGAACAAGACAGGGAUGUCCACUCUCGCCACUGUUAUUCAACAUAGUAUUGGAAUUCUUAGCCUCUGCAAUCAGACAACACAAAGAAAUGAGAGACAUCCAAAUUGGCCAGGAGGAGGCCAACUUUCACUCUCCACAAAUGACAUGAUACUCUAUAUGGAAAACCGUAAAGAUUCCCCUAAAAAACUGACAGAACUGAUUCACAAAUUCAGCAAAGUUGUGGGAUAUAAAAUCAAGGCACAGAAAUCGGUUGCAUUCCUAUACACCAACAAUAAAGCAACAGAAAGAGAAAUCAAGGAAGUGACCCCAUUUACAAUUGCACCAAAAACCAUAAAAUACCUAGGAAUAAAUCUAACCAAAGAGGUGAAAAAUCUGUACACUGAAAACUAUAGAAAGCUUGUGAAAGAAAUUGAGGAAAUCUCCACUUCUAAGGUAAGUGUUUUGUUUUGUUUCUGGUUUGGUUUUGUUUUGAGAAUGUUAACAGUAGAAACAGAAUAUCUUGAUUACCCAAGACAUUUGUUUUUGUAAAGUACUGCAAUUUCUAAGAAUUUGAGGAGGUUUACAAAGAAAAAUGAUUUUUAAAAAGCCAUUUUGUUGUCUAUAUUGUGAGGUCUUUUCAGGAUUCAAUGAUGUAAAAUUAUUUCUGUCAUAAAUAAGUACAUAAUAAGAUAUGUUUCCCCUGAAAUAGGUAAUUUUGUUUAAGGAAAUCAUUUGAACCAAAAAAUUAUAUUUUGCUUUGAAAUCUAUUUUGAAAUCUUAGCCGACAGGUUAUGGGUAGAAAUAGCUAAGUCCCUGGAUAAAAAUCAACUCCAUUUAAAUGGAAAUGUUGUGGAAUGAUGUAAGUGUACAACCUCUUACUCCUAUUAUGGAAAUAGUACAAAAAAAAGUUUCUCAGGCUGAACAACCUAAGAAGUUGUUUGAAAAAGCCAAAUUAUUCCAAUUUUUAAAGUAAAUUUCUGAACGAAUAAUUUUAUUCAUAUUGUACAGGCCAAUGGAAUUCUGCCAUUUUAAGUAUAGUGCUUGGGAAAUUUCUGAAAUAUGUUCACAGCAGAGGCAACCCAUUUUCAAAAUAAGAUAGAUAGAUGACUGGAGAUAUAUGCCUUAUGUUUUGAAAUAAUGUGAAAUCCAUGGAAUACCUUUGAACCACUUUUGUCCUCUAAAUUGAAUCUAAAUCCAAACAGGCCAUUGUACUUCCCGUUUAAAGAAAAUAUUGGGCAUACAGGAAUAAGAAAUGCCCUACCUUCAGGAAGUAAUCAGUCAAAUCCGAAUACCAGAUAUUUUAGGAAAACUGACCUCAUUUCUGAGCUGUCAGUGUGAAAAAGAGGAAUGGGGGACAGGAGCAUUCUAAAUUAAAAGAGAAAGAGUAUAAAACAACUGAAUAAAAGCAGUGUGUUUUAUUUAGGUUCUGAUUUGAAUAAUUCAGCCAAUUUGAUAACACAAUUAGGAAAUUUGUGUGAAAUGAUAGUGAAGUAUUUUUGUUAAUUGUGUUAAAUAUGAUAAUGGUAUUGAGAUUAUGAAAAAUUGUCUCCUAUUAGAGGCACAUUACAGUAUUUGAUAAUGAGAUGAUAUGAUGUCCUGGAAUUGCUUUAAAGUCAUGAACCAAAAAAGGAAAUGAAAAGGAUGGAUGAAACAUUGUAAUAGAAUGUGUAUCAUUAUUGAUGGUGGGUGAUGGGACAAGGGGGUAUGUUGAUUUCUCUACUUUUUGUACAUUCAGAUGCGUAUUCUAUAAAACUCAAAAUCAGAGUAAAUAGAUACAAAUACUUAUCUUGUAACUACAAAAUCCCAAAAUAAUUAUACAAAAGGAAUAAAAGAAAUGUAAACUCAUAAGCUAGAAGAGAACUAGAAAGCGAGCACCAGAGGAAAAGGAAUUCCAACAAAAAAUCUGAAAGAUAGAAUGUGCAUGUGUAUAUUUGUGUGUUUAGAUGUGAAUAUAUCUAUCUAUGAAUGAGGAAAAUCUCGGUUUAGAGUGUUGUUUUUUCCUUUUGGCUUCUAUAUUAUCCAGGAAAUAAAGGGAGACAUUAUUAAGUGUGAGAGAAUAGAUAGGGUCCUAGUUGGAAAUUUGAAGAAAGUAGAUAAUAUUUUCAAUUAGUUCCAUGAAAAAAUGAACUGGAAAAAAGUGUUUUGUAGGGAAACAUUGUUCCAUUGGUCUACAUAUUUGUAAGCUACAACUGUAGCCAACGGCCCUGAAAGUGUAGUGGUGUUAACAAAAAUAGACGUGUGAUUUUUUUUUUUUUCCUUUGAGGUAUUCAGGCUUCCUGGAGCUGUGAGAUUUUUGUGUUUGAUUUGAUUGGGAUUGGGGUUUAGCCAAAGGGGCACAUUAGAAAUUUAAAGAGGCAAGGAUAGUUAGUAUACUGGCAGGAAAGUUGAUAGAAAUGGUGGACUAUGGAACCUAAACUCUGUAGAGAAUAACAUGAAGAUAUAAAUGAGCUGGUGAAUAGGAAGAAACUUCAAGGCUCUUUGAACUGGAGGCACAUAUGAGGUCAAGAUUUGCUGUGUUUGGAGUAAAAAGAAUAAAUUGUGUAGAUGUGGCACAAGACUGUGUGAGGAGUCAGACUCCUUGUUCUGGAGGUCUUGUUCUGGAUAAUGACAGUUGGAUUAAAAUGUUGUAUUUAGAAAAGUAUCUCUAGUUUUUUCUGGGUUAGGUGUUAUUAUUUAUCCAUGGGGCUAUGUUAGUUAUUUGACUCGCUAUCAGUUUCUUUAUUAUACAUCUCCCCAAACUUCUAAUUUCAAAAAAAUUACUUUGAGGGCACCUGGGUUGCUCAGUUGGUUGAACAUCUGACUUGAUUUCAGCUAAAGUCAUGAUCCCAUGUUGGGCCCCAUGCUGAGUAUGGGACUGCUUGAGAUUCUCUCUCUCUCUCCCUCUGCCCUUCUACCCUACUCACACACUCUCUUUCUCUCUCCAAAAUAAAAUAAAGUUAAAAAAAUAAAAUAAAGUUACUUUUUAUAGAUGUAUUAGUUAUGAUCUGAUAGAAAAUGGGAAAAUACAGAGAAAUUUAAAGAAAAAAUAUACAUGAAUAUCCUAUAGACAAUAUGCCAAAAAGAAAAUUGUGCUCAUUAAUUAGUUGUAUUUACUUUGAGUCCUUUUAUGCUCUUUUGCAAGCAUUUUUAAACAAACUAAACAGAAUUAAAAUAUUAAACAAAAGAUUAGUGUCUUUAAUUUUCAGGAAACCUUAGAUUAUGAAAUAUUAUUCAAUAUUCUUCAAAAACCUGAUCAUUAAGAGCUACAUAAUCUUCUGUGAUGAAUGCUGUUGCCAACAUUUCCAAUCAUCUCCUUAGCUUCAAAACAUACAGUUAUUAAACUUAAGGACAUUCUGAUAUCUCUCCCAAAGAUUUUCUGCUUUUCUCUCUCAUCCUCAAGUAAAGUCUUUAAAAGAAACUGAGUUUCCUCAUCAAUGCAUUUAAUUGUUUAAGAGGUAGGAUAUUGGCAAGGAUAAACUUCACAAAUAUGAAAUUGUAUGUAAUGUUAAAUUAAUGGCUUUUAAAAGACACAGUCACUAAACUCAAAUCAAGAACUAAAGGCAGAGUUCAUCAAACAUUCACUUUCUUCAUAAGGAAAAAUAAACUAGAAAAGUUAAAUCUUUUGUAUUUGGCCAUCAUACUAGUCAGUUAAUGAGAAACAGCUACAUUGAUGACCAUGAUACGUGAUGAAGGGUAGCUGUAGUAAGUAGAAUAAAUAUGCCCCUUCAGCAAUAUCCACAUUUUAAUGUCUGGAGGCUGUGAAUGGGUUAUGUCCCAUGACAAGAUGUAGUGGGUGGGAGACUGAAUUUGCAGACGGAAUUAAGGUUGCUAAUCAGUUGACCUUAAAAUAGAUUAUCCUGGAUUAUGUGGGUGAGUUCCACAUAAUCAAGGGUCCUUAAAUAUGGAAGAUAGAGAUAGAGGAGAAUCACAGAAAUGGCAUUAUGAGAGGGACUCAACUCAAGAUUGUUGUCUUUUAAAAUGGAGGAAAGAGCCAUGAGUCAAAGAAAGUGGGAGACUGCUAGAAUUUAUCAAAGGCAAGGAAGCAGAUUCUCUUCUAAAGCCUUAGAAAAGAAUAUAACUCUGCAGACAUUUUGAUGUUACCCCUGCAGGAUCCAUGUCAGACUUCUCAUCUACAAGAGCUAAUGAAUUUGUGUAGUUUUAAGCCCCUAAACUGGCAGUAAUUUGCCACAACAAUAGAAAUAAAAUACAGUAUCUUUCAAUUUUAUUUUAUUUUAUUUAUUUUAUUAUUUUAUUUUUGUUAUUUUAUAUUUUAUUUUAUUUUUUUUAGAGAGAGUGAGCAGGGGAGAGGCAAAGACAGAGAGAGAAGGAGAGAGACUGAAUCUCAAGCAGGUUCCAUACCCAGCACUGAGCCUGACAAGGGACUAGAAGUCCCAACCUGAGAUCAUGACCUGAGCCAAAACCAAGAGUUUGGUCACUCAACCAACUGAGCCACGCAGGCACCAGUCAACUGUUAUGGUGAUGGUUGUACAAUUAGAUAUUUUUCAAGCAAUAAUUAUGUUUUAAAAUAAAAUUAAAAAUGAUUUUUCAUCAAUUCUUCAAAAAUUUUGACAGAUGGAAAGUAACUAUAAUGUAAAAGUAUUUUGUUUUAUUACUAGCAGAAGUAGUUUCCUUAUCAAUUGAUUAUGAGUUUUUUCCUUAUCAUUGAUUAUGGGUUUUUUCUUUGAAGAUGUGUUGAACAUUAACAUGCCUGCUUUCUCUUCCUGUAAAUCACCACAGAGUAAAAAGGACUUUUGAAUAAAAUACAGAAAAAAAAUUGUUGAUAACAUUUAAAAUUAGAUGCCAGGCAAAAACAAAUGUUUGCUUAGAAAGAAAGUAUUACAUUAACUUUUACAAUGGAAAUGGGAAAAGAAAAUGGCAGGUGGAGUAAAGUGUCUCACCUCCUGAAGGAUAUUAGAGUUAAUCAAGGAAAUAAAUGAUAUAAAAUACUAUUUUUAUAAAUAUAAACACCAAGAAUAAUAAUAUGAUUUACACUAAAUAGUGAAGAAAAUUGACAGAUAUGGAGGAAGAAGGAACAUAAACAUCUACAUUAGUAAAUAAAACUUUAACAAGUAGAUUUGGAGUUUCAAAUAUAAAGUUAUAUAGUUAAUUACUAGAGCAAAAUAUACUAAUAUAAACACAUCACACUCAAAGCAAAAAUGGAUAAAUAAUAAAAGUUACUUUAAAAAUAUAUAGAGAGAAAGCAAAACAAAUAUGGCAUAAAAAAACCAAUACCUAUCUACUGUACCAGUAAAUGCAAUUGGGUAAAACACACACACACACACACACACACACACACACACACACACACACACAAGAAGUAUCUGCUAUCAUAAUUCAAUUGAAUUAAAAGUAAAAUAUGUGACUAUGGGGGUGUCUAGGUGGCUCAGUCGGUUGAGCGUCUGACUUCAGCUCAAGUCAUAAUCUCACAGUUUGUGGGUUUGAGCCACAUAUCAGGCUCUGUGCUGAUUGCUCAGAGUCUGGAGCCUGCUUUGGAUUCUGUGUCUCCUUCUCUGUCUGCCACUCCCACAUUAGCACUCUGUCUCUCUCUAUCUCUCAAAAAUAAAUAAAUGUUAAAAAAAUUAAAUAAAAACUAUGUGACUAUGCUCUAUAUAAAGACACAGGCAAACAAAAUGAAUAGGACUAUUUGAAAAUAAAAUUAAGACUAAAAUUAUACCUGAAGAUAUAAGUUUUCUAAAAAUAAAACCAAUAAUAAAAAAGAAAAACUGACCCCAAAUUAUUAGGUGAUAUAGAAGACCAGUUAAAAAUUAUUUUUUAUAAUAUAAUUAAGAUGUUACUUAUACCUAUGCACCAUAUAAUGUAGCAUCAGUAUUUGUAUGUCUGCAACUACAAAAUAAAAUUUACUGAAACUGAUUAUACAUAAGAAAAAAGUUCAGACAACCUCAUUAUCCUAGAAUAAUUGUUUUAUUUUUAACAUUUUUGUUUACUCAUUUUUGGGGGGAGCAGGGGAAGGAUGGUUUUGUUCAAUCCAAGAAUGCAAGGAUAGUGCAAUAUUACAAAAUAUAUCAAAAUAAUUCAUCAUAUUAAUUUAAGAAAAUAAUAUUUACAUUUUCAGAAAAGCUUAAAAUGCACUUUUAAACCAUCAUUUUAAAGAACAACAAAUGUAUAUAUGAAAUAUUUUCUAACCCUCCCCCCCCCCCAAAAAAAAAAUCCACCCAAGCAAAUAGUAUAG